UGAUUUUAUCUCUUCAGAAAACAUAAAUAUAAAUUGUAUUCAAAUAUGCAUAUUACACAAAGAUGCAUUACACAUAUUGCAAGAGACAUUCACACAUAUUUUUGGUUGGUGAUUUAGCCUGAAUUUGCUAACAAUGGCAUGGUGUCUACUUUGAUUUUGUUUAGCUGGAAUAAUCAAGUAUUAGUCCAUUCUUUCACUGCUAUUAAAUACCUGAGACUGGGUAGUUUAUAGGGAAAAGAAGAUUAAUUGGCUGAAGGUUCUGCAGACUGUAUGAGAAGCAUAGUGGCUUCUGAGAAAACCUCAGGAAAGUUAGAAUCAUGGUGGUGUAGGAGGACUAGCCACAGACAAAACCACUCAGACACCGGGUUAAGAAGGAAGUGGCUUUAUUUGGCCAGGAGCAUCAGCAGACUUGCAUGUCAAGAACUGAGCUCUCUGAAGAAAGAGUUCCUGGCCCUUUUAAGAACUUACAACUCUAAGGGGUUCACGUGAAAGGGUUGUGAUAGAUUGACAUUCAGAGAUAGCAUAUGUGAUUAGAGGGGGGCUAAUCUUUAACCUCUCUCUUCAUUCCCCCAUUUGAGAACCUUACUCACUAGUGGGAGGUCUCACUCUCAUCUUCACUACCCAGGUCUUUCUGCAAGACAGAUCGACAGUGAUUCAUGUAAUACACUUGUGUAUUACAAGACAUUCAUGUAAUACAUUUGUGCUGAAGUUUUCUGAUGAACCAAGGUAGUAACAAAACUUCUUAGAAGUUGGAGAAAUAUGGGUAACAAACAAAGGAGCAAUAGGAGGGUUGCAGCUGGAGAUCUGGGGAGGAGCUGGUGUUUUUUAGUUUGAGGGUCAUGCAGCUAUAGACCCUGGGAGGAGCAGGAGUUUCUUUAGUUUGAGGGUUGGGCAGCUGCAGAACCCGGGAGAAUCUGAUGUUCUGGUUUGAGGGUCCUGCAGCUGGAGACCCAGAGAGCAGCUGGUGUUUCUUUAGUUUGAUGGCCGUGCAGCUGUAGAACCCAGGGGGAGCUGGUAUUUUUCUAGUAUGAGUGUCCUGCAGCUGGAGACCUGGAGAAGAGCUGAUGUUCUAGUUUGAGGGUCGUGCCGCUGAAGACUCAGGGAGAAGCUGAUGUUCUCGUUUGAGGAUACUGCAGCUGGAGACCUGGAGAGGAGCUGAUGUUAUUCUAGUUUGAGGAUCAUGGAGCUUGAGAUCCACAGAGGAGCAGGUAUUGUUCUAGAUUGAGGUUCAUGUAGCUGAAGACCUGGGGAGCAGCGGGUGUUUUUUAGUUUGAGGGUCAUGCAGCUGUAGAACCCGGGAGGAGCUGGUGUUUUUCUAGUAUGAGUGUCCUGCAGCUGGAGACCUGGAGAGGAGCUGAUGUUGUUCUAGUUUGAGGGUUGUGCAGCUGAAGACUUGGAGGGGAGCUGAUGUUGUUCUUGUUGAGGGUCUUUCAGCUGGAGACCCAGAGAGGAGCUGAUGUGGUUCUAGUUUAAGGGUCAUGGAGCUGGAGACCCAGAGAGGAGCUGGUGUUGUUCUGAUUUGAGGUUCAUGCAGCUGGAGACAUGGAGAGGAGCGGGUGUUUCUUUAGUUUGAGAUUCAUGCAGCUGUAGAACCGGGGAAGAGCUGGCGUUUUUCUAGUAUGAGUGUCCUACAGCUGGAGACCAGGAGAGGAGCUGAUGUUCUAGUUUGAGAGCCAUGCGACUGGAGAUGCAAAGAGGAGCUGAUUUGGUUCUAGUUUGAGGGUCAUGGAGCUGGAGACCCAGAGAGGAGCUGGUGUUUCUUUAGUUUGAGGGUCAUACAGCUGUAGAACCCAUGAGGAGCUUGCAUUUUUCUAGUGUGAGUGUCCUGCAGCUGAAGACCUGGAGAAGAGCUGAUGCUUUCAAUUGAGGGUUGUGCAGCUUAAGACUCAGGGAGGAGCUGAUGUUCUAGUUUGAGGGCCAUGAGCUUAAGACCCGGGGAUGAGCUGAUGUUGUUCUGGUUUGAGGGUCAGGCAACUGAAGACCCGGGGAGGAGCUGAUGUUGUUCUAGUUUGAGGUUCAUGCAGCUGGAGACCUGGGGAGCAGCGGGUGUUUUUUAGUUUGAGGGUCAUGCAGCUGUAGAACCCGGGAGGAGCUGGCGUUUUUCUAAUAUGAGUAUCCUGCAGCUGGAGACCAGGAGAGUUGCUGAUGUUCUAGUCUGAAGGUCGUGCAGCUGAAGACGGGGGAGGGUUCUAGUUUGAGUGCCCUGCAGCUGAAGACUCGGGAAGGAGCUGAUGUUGUCCUUGUUUUACGAUCUUUCAGCUGGAGACUCAAAGAGGAGCUGAUGUUGUUCUAAUUUGAGUGUAAUGGAGCUGGAGACCCGGGGUGGAGCUGAUGUUGUUCUAGUUUGAGUGUUGUGCAGCUGGAGAUCCAAGAAGGAGGUGGUCUUGUGGUUCAAAUCUGAGGGUCCUGGAGCUGGAAUCUAUGGGAGGAGUCAAUGCUGCCACUGAUGUCUUAGAUUGUGCAGCAGAAGACCCACAGAGGAGCCGGUGUUGGUGUUCUAGUGUGAGGGUGUGGAUCUGGAGAUCCAUGGGGGAGUGACGUUCUUCUAGUUUUUGGGUUGUGGUGCUGGAGACCCAGGGAGGAGCUCAUGGUGUUCUAGUUGAGGGUCGUGGUGCUGGAGACCCAGGGAGGAGUCGAUCCUUCUGUUGUUUAAGUCUGAAGGUCAUCGAGCUGGAGAUCCGGGGAAGAGCUGGUGCUGCGGUUCAAGUCUGAGGGUCCUGGAGCUUGAGACCCCAGGAGGAGAUGGUGCUGCCACGAAUGUCUUAGGUUGUAAAGCUGGAGACCUGCGAAGGAGCCGGUGUUGCUGUUUUAGUGUGAGGUUUGUGGAGCUGGAGUCCCAGGGGGAAAAUGGUGUUUUUCUGGCUUAAGGGUCAUGCAGCUGACCCUCAGAUGACCUCAAACUAUAACAACACUGCUCCACCCUGGAUCUCCAGCUCCAAAAUCCUCACAAUAGAAAAACAUCUGCUCCUCCCUGAGUGUCCAGCUCCACGAUGCUCAAACUAGAUUAAAAUCAGCUCCUUCCCAGGUGUCCAGCUGCAUGACCCUCAAACUAGAAACACCCGGGGAGGUUUUAUUAGUUUGCUGCUGUUUUUCUAGAUUGAGGGUCAUGCAGCUGGAGACGUGGGGAGGAGCUGAUGUUGUUCGAGUUUGAGGGUCAUGGAGCUUGGAGACCCAGGCAGGAGCUGGUGUUUUUCUAGUUUGAGGGUUGUGCAGCUGGAGACCCAGGGAGAAGCUGAUGUUGCUCUUAUUUGAGAGCUGUGGAGCUGGAGACCUGGAGAGGAGCUGAUGGUGUUCUAGUUUGAUGGUUGCAGAGCUGGAGACCCAGGGAGGAGCUGUUGUUUUUCUAGUUUGAGUUUCGUGCAGCUGAAGACCAUUGGAGGAGCUGAUGUUCUAGUUUGAGGGUUGUGCAGCUGGAGAUACAGGGAGAAGGUGGUCUUGCAGUUUAAAUGUGAGGGUCUUGGAGCUGGAAUCCAUGGGAGGAGCCAAUGCUGCCACUGAUGUCUUAGGUUGUGGAGCUGAAGACCCGCAGAGGAGCCAGUGUUGGUGUUCCAGUGUGAGGUUCGUGGAUCUGGAGACCCACGGAGGAGCAGGUGUUGGUGUUCUAGUGUGAGGGUCAUGGAUCUGGAGAUCCAUGGGGGAGUGGUGUUCUUCUAGUUUGUGGGUUGUGGUGCUGGAGACCCAGGGAGGAGCUGAUUCUUUUGUUGUUUAAGUCUGAAGGUCGUCAAGCUGGAGAUCCGGGGAAGAGCUGGUGCUGCGAUUCAAGUCUGAGGGUCCUGGAGCUUGAGACCCCAGGAGGAGAUGGUGCUGCCACUAAUGUCUUAGAUUGUAAAGCUGGAGAUCUGUGGAGGAGCUGGUGUUUCUGUUCUAGUGUAAGGUUUGUGGAUCUGGAGUCCCAGGGGUGAGCAGUGUUGUUUUAGUUUGAGGGUCAUGGAGUUAGAGACCCGGGGAGGAGCUGAUGUUGUAGUUUGAGGGUCGUGCAGCUGGAGACCCAGGGAGGAGCUGGUGUGUUUCUAGUUGGAGGGUUGUGGAGCUGGAGAUUCAC
Molecule: long non-coding RNA, 4042 nt
Filed under: Homo sapiens (human)
Lineage: Eukaryota; Metazoa; Chordata; Mammalia; Primates; Hominidae
Description: HSALNT0050168
Source: RNAcentral